AGGAGAGAUGGCUUAAAGGGGUACGCGGGCUUCUUCCGCGAAUUCGCUCCAGGAUGGGACUGCGUCCGAUCAGGCUGUUGGCGGGGUAAUGGCCCACCAAACCUGUAACCGGUACGGGCCUUGAGAGAGGUGGCCCGGAGAUGGACACUGAGAGAAGGGUCCAGGUCCUACGGGGCGCAGCAGGCGCGAAACCUUCGCAAUGCGCGAAAGCGUGACGAGGUUAAUCCGAGUGACUUCCGCUGAGGAGGUCUUUUGUCAGCUGUAAAUAGGCAGGCGAAUAAGGGGAGGGCAAGCCUGGUGUCAGCCGCCGCGGUAAUACCAGCUCCUCGAGUGGUCGGGGCGAUUAUUGGGCCUAAAGCAUCCGUAGCCGGUUCCGUAGGUCCUCUGUUAAAUCCAACCGCUUAACGGUUAACCUGCAGAGGAUACCGCGGGACUAGGAGGCGGGAGAGGCGGACGGUACUCCGCGUGUAGGGGUAAAAUCCUUUGAUCCGCGGAAGACCACCAGUGGCGAAGGCGGUCCGCCAGAACGCGCUCGACGGUGAGGGAUGAAAGCUGGGGGAGCGAACCGGAUUAGAUACCCGGGUAGUCCCAGCCGUAAACGAUGCUAGCUAGAUGAUUCAUUCGCAAGUCGCGAAUGAAGUGUCGCAGGGAAGCCGUUA
This 659-nucleotide ribosomal RNA is filed under the name uncultured archaeon. RNAcentral's name for it is "bacterial SSU rRNA". It matches the Rfam family "Archaeal small subunit ribosomal RNA", at positions 175 to 817 of the family's 1478-position model. The record is from RNAcentral.